AUUGAACGCUGGCGGCAUGCCUUACACAUGCAAGUCGAACGGUAACGGGCCUUCGGGUGCCGACGAGUGGCGAACGGGUGAGUAAUACAUCGGAACGUGCCCGAUCGUGGGGGAUAACGAGGCGAAAGCUUUGCUAAUACCGCAUACGAUCUACGGAUGACAGCAGGGGACCGCAAGGCCUUGCCGGGACGGAGCGGCCGAUGGCAGAUUAGGUAGUUGGUGGGAUAAAGGCUGACAAAGCCGACGAUCUGUAGCUGGUCUGAGAGGAUGAUCAGCCACACUGGGACUGAGACACGGCCCAGACUCCUACGGGAGGCAGCAGUGGGGAAUUUUGGACAAUGGGCGCAAGCCUGAUCCAGCCAUGCCGCGUGCAGGAUGAAGGCCUUCGGGUUGUAAACUGCUUUUGUACGGAACGAAAAGCCUUCUUUUAAUACAGGAGGGUCAUGACGGUACCGUAAGAAUAAGCACCGGCUAACUACGUG
This 482-nucleotide ribosomal RNA is filed under the name uncultured bacterium. RNAcentral describes it as "partial 16S ribosomal RNA". It matches the Rfam family "Bacterial small subunit ribosomal RNA", at positions 30 to 507 of the family's 1533-position model. The record is from RNAcentral.